GUAGCCCAGCUACUUGUUUACACCCUUGUUUUUUUGCGUACCUAUCGUUUCCUYGGCGGGCUUGCCUGCCGGUUGGACAACUUUAUAACCUUUUUUAAAUCUUCAAUCAGCGUCUGAACAAUAUACAAUAAUUACAACUUUCAACAACGGAUCUCUUGGUUCUGGCAUCGAUGAAGAACGCAGCGAAAUGCGAUAAGUAGUGUGAAUUGCAGAAUUCAGUGAAUCAUCGAAUCUUUGAACGCACAUUGCGCCCCUUGGUAUUCCAUGGGGCAUGCCUGUUCGAGCGUCAUUUGUACCUUCAAGCUUUGCUUGGKGUUGGGUGCUUGUCUUUUUGUUAAGACUCACCUCAAAGUCAUUGGCAGCCAGUGUUUUGGUAGUAAGCGCAGCACAUUUUGCGUCUUGGUCCCUCAACAGCGGCAUCCAUCAAGCCAUYUUCUCACUU
RNAcentral lists this ribosomal RNA (442 nucleotides) under dothideomycete sp. 7695A. Its description in RNAcentral is "eukaryotic LSU rRNA". The stretch from base 136 to 289 matches the Rfam family "5.8S ribosomal RNA". Lineage: Eukaryota; Fungi; Ascomycota; Dothideomycetes. The record is from RNAcentral.